Molecule: ribosomal RNA, 252 nt
Filed under: uncultured bacterium
Lineage: Bacteria
Description: partial 16S ribosomal RNA
Rfam family: Bacterial small subunit ribosomal RNA
Source: RNAcentral
UACGUAGGCAGCGAGCGUUGUUCGGAGUUACUGGCGUAAAGCGUGCGUAGUCGGUUAUCUAAGUCGGGUGUGAAAUCCCCGGGCUCAACCUGGGAAUUGCAUUCGAUACUGGAUAGCUAGAGUUCGGCAGAGGGAAGCGGAAUUUCGGGUGUAGCGGUGAAAUGCGUAGAUAUCCGAAGGAACAUCAGUGGCGAAGGCGGCUUCCUGGACCAGAACUGACGAUCAGGCACGAAAGCGUGGGGAGCAAACAGG